Xiphophorus hellerii (green swordtail) is the source of this 542-nucleotide long non-coding RNA. RefSeq lists it as uncharacterized. The record is from RefSeq and is a predicted model, not a curated record. NCBI's taxonomy places the organism in Eukaryota, Metazoa, Chordata, Actinopteri, Cyprinodontiformes, Poeciliidae. The transcript is spliced from 3 exons.
UGGGCAUCACACUUAGUUUGCUGAGCUGUGCUGGGUAAGCGUGGCUGUUUCUUUGUUUGUCAGCUUUUAUCAUAGCCAUUAAUGCAAGCUGGUUUGAUUUGUUUAGCCUCCCUUGCUGUGCCUCCAACUCCUGGACCAAUUUGUUCGGUUGUUUGCUGCCGUGAAGCUGCGCUCCAUAGGUGAACUUGUGGAUCUGUUUAUCUGGCCGUGUGGUAAUUUACAGGGACUGAGGCUUCUGUGGUGGCGGUGGUGACCCCUGGUGGCGGUGUCUUUUCUCGUGUGUUUUGUGGAACCCCCCUUUUUUUGUGUGUGUGUGUUCGCCGUGUUUUUGUAGUGUCCAGGGUGAUCCCUUUUCUUCACUGGAUGUUGCCCCUUUCCUCACUACUCUCCCCCCCACUGGUAAGCCUCAGUUUCCUUUGAAAUUUAAACAUUUUAUCAACUUUAUUAAAAAGGCAUUCACUGUUUUAACCAUUCGAUUUCAGGUUAUUGUUAAUUUAAACAACCUAUUAAAGUUUAAUAAAUUUUUUGUAGAAUUGUCUGAA